GUAGGUGGCAAGCGUUGUCCGGAAUUAUUGGGCGUAAAGCGCGCGCAGGCGGUUCUUUAAGUCUGAUGGUGAAACGCCCACGGCUCAACCGUGGAGGGUCAUUGGAAACUGGAGAACUUGAGUACAGAAGAGGAAAGCGGAAUUCCACGUGUAGCGGUGAAAUGCGUAGAGAUGUGGAGGAACACCAGUGGCGAAGGCGGCUUUCUGGUCUGUAACUGACGCUGAGGCGCGAAAGCGUGGGGAGCAAACAGGGAUUAGAUACCCUGGUAGUCCACGCCGUAAACGAUGAGUGCUAAGUGUUAGGGGGGGUUUCCGCCCCCUUAGUGCUGCAGCUAACGCAUUAAGCACUCCGCCUGGGGAUACGGCCGCUAGGCUG
Molecule: ribosomal RNA, 376 nt
Filed under: uncultured organism
Description: partial 16S ribosomal RNA
Rfam family: Bacterial small subunit ribosomal RNA
Source: RNAcentral